Molecule: signal recognition particle RNA, 296 nt
Filed under: Cebus imitator (Panamanian white-faced capuchin)
Lineage: Eukaryota; Metazoa; Chordata; Mammalia; Primates; Cebidae
Description: Metazoan signal recognition particle RNA (ENSCCAG00000011277.1)
Rfam family: Metazoan signal recognition particle RNA
About the family: The signal recognition particle (SRP) is a universally conserved ribonucleoprotein. It is involved in the co-translational targeting of proteins to membranes.
Source: RNAcentral
GCCAGGCAAAGUGGCGCAUGCCUGUAGUCCUAGCUACUCCGGAGCUAAGUUGGGAGGAUAGUUUGAGCCCAGGAGUUCUGGGCUGUAGUGCACUAUGACGACUGGGUGUCCACACUAAGUUUGGCAUCAAUGUCGUGACCUCCUGGGAGCGGGGUCCACAGGUUGCCUAAGGAGGGGUUAACCAGCCCAGGUUGGAAACGGAGCAGGUCAAAACUCCUGUGCUGAUCAGUAGUGGGAUUGCGCCUGUGAGUAGCCACUGCACUCCAGCCUGGGCAACAUAGCAAGACCCUGUCUCC